UAGGGAAUCUUCCGCAAUGGACGCAAGUCUGACGGAGCAACGCCGCGUGAGUGAAGAAGGAUUUCGGUUCGUAAAACUCUGUUGUUAGAGAAGAACAGCGCAUAGAGUAACUGUUAUGCGUGUGACGGUAUCUAACCAGAAAGCCACGGCUAACUACGUGCCAGCAGCCGCGGUAAUACGUAGGUGGCAAGCGUUGUCCGGAUUUAUUGGGCGUAACGCGAGCGCAGGCGGUCAAUUAAGUCUAAUGUGAAAGCCCCCGGCUCAACCGGGGAGGGUCAUUGGAAACUGGUUGACUUGAGUGCAGAAGAGGAGAGUGGAAUUCCAUGUGUAGCGGUGAAAUGCGUAGAUAUAUGGAGGAACACCAGUGGCGAAGGCGACUCUCUGGUCUGUAACUGACGCUGAGGCUCGAAAGCGUGGGUAGCAAACAGG
Molecule: ribosomal RNA, 429 nt
Filed under: Bacteroidota bacterium
Lineage: Bacteria; Pseudomonadati; Bacteroidota
Description: Bacteroidetes bacterium partial 16S ribosomal RNA
Rfam family: Bacterial small subunit ribosomal RNA
Source: RNAcentral